Molecule: long non-coding RNA, 209 nt
Filed under: Mytilus galloprovincialis (Mediterranean mussel)
Lineage: Eukaryota; Metazoa; Mollusca; Bivalvia; Mytilida; Mytilidae
Source: RNAcentral
GUUGCCUUCGUCCAUGCAAUCAUGGACUAAGUUAGCCUUGGUUGCCUUCGUCCAUGCAUGCAUGGACUAAGUCUGUUGUGUUAGUCCAUGCAAGCAUGAACUAAGUUAGGGUUAGUUGCCUUAGUGCAUGCAUGCAUGGACUAAGUCUGUUGUGUUAGUCCAUGCAUGCAUGGACUAAGUUAACGUUAGUUACCUUCGUCCAUGCAUGC